This 253-nucleotide ribosomal RNA is filed under the name uncultured bacterium. Its description in RNAcentral is "partial 16S ribosomal RNA". It matches the Rfam family "Bacterial small subunit ribosomal RNA", at positions 524 to 776 of the family's 1533-position model. The record is from RNAcentral.
UACGUAGGGGGCUAGCGUUGUCCGGAAUCAUUGGGCGUAAAGCGCGCGUAGGCGGCCAGAUAAGUCCGGUGUGAAAGUCACAGGCUCAACCUGUGAAUGCCGCUGGAAACUGUCUGGCUUGAGUCCGGAAGGGGCGAGUGGAAUUCCUGGUGUAGCGGUGAAAUGCGCAGAUAUCAGGAAGAACACCUAUGGCGAAAGCAGCUCUCUGGGACGGUACUGACGCUGAGACGCGAAAGCGUGGGGAGCGAACAGG